GUAUUUAUUAGAUUCAAACCAGUGUCCCUCGGGACUUUUUGGUGACUCAUAAUAACUUAACGCAGCGCAUGGCCUUCGUGCCGGCGCGGGAUCAUUCAAAUACCUGCCCUAUCAAGUUUCGAUGUGAGGGUAGUGUCCUCACAUGCUUUUGACGGGUAACGGGGAAUUAGGGUUCGACUCCGGAGAGGGAGCCUGAGAAACGGCUACCACAUCCAAGGAAGGCAGCAGGCGCGCAAAUUACCCAAUCCCGAUACGGGGAGGUAGUGACAAGAAAUACCGAUUCAGGAUCUUAUUGGAUCUUGAGAUUGGAAUGAGUACAAUUCAAACCCAUUAACGAGGAACAACUAGAGGGCAAGUCUGGUGCCAGCAGCCGCGGUAAUUCCAGCUCUAGUAGCGUAUAUUAAAAUUGUUGCAGUUAAAACGCUCGUAGUUGAACUUUGGGCUUGGCUGGCUGGUCCGCCUCACCGCGAGCACUGGUCCGGCUGGGCCUUUCCUCUUGGGGAUCCACAUGCCCUUCACUUGGGUGUGUUGGGGAACCAGGACUUUUACUUUGAAAAAAUUAGGGUGUUCAAAGCAGGCAUUUGCUCGAAUACAUUAGCAUGGGAUAAUAGAAUAGGACGUGUGGUCUUAUUUUGUUGGUUUCUAGGG
Molecule: ribosomal RNA, 648 nt
Filed under: Hesperomyces virescens
Lineage: Eukaryota; Fungi; Ascomycota; Laboulbeniomycetes; Laboulbeniales; Laboulbeniaceae
Description: SSU rRNA
Rfam family: Eukaryotic small subunit ribosomal RNA
Source: RNAcentral